Molecule: transfer RNA, 87 nt
Filed under: Puccinia triticina
Lineage: Eukaryota; Fungi; Basidiomycota; Pucciniomycetes; Pucciniales; Pucciniaceae
Also listed under: 1 other name
Description: tRNA-Tyr
Rfam family: tRNA (bases 10-84)
About the family: Transfer RNA (tRNA) molecules are approximately 80 nucleotides in length. Their secondary structure includes four short double-helical elements and three loops (D, anti-codon, and T loops). Further hydrogen bonds mediate the characteristic L-shaped molecular structure. tRNAs have two regions of fundamental functional importance: the anti-codon, which is responsible for specific mRNA codon recognition, and the 3' end, to which the tRNAs corresponding amino acid is attached (by aminoacyl-tRNA synthetases). tRNAs cope with the degeneracy of the genetic code in two manners: having more than one tRNA (with a specific anti-codon) for a particular amino acid; and 'wobble' base-pairing, i.e. permitting non-standard base-pairing at the 3rd anti-codon position.
Source: RNAcentral
GCCUCGAAGCCACCAAUUGUCUUGAAAUCCGUGAGGGCAAGACUGUAAAUCUUGAGGUCGCUGGUUCAAUCCCGGCUCGGGGGACCA